This 253-nucleotide ribosomal RNA is filed under the name uncultured bacterium. RNAcentral's name for it is "partial 16S ribosomal RNA". It matches the Rfam family "Bacterial small subunit ribosomal RNA", at positions 524 to 776 of the family's 1533-position model. The record is from RNAcentral.
UACGAAGGGGGCUAGCGUUGCUCGGAAUGACUGGGCGUAAAGGGCGCGUAGGCGGUGACCACAGUCAGGCGUGAAAUUCCUGGGCUUAACCUGGGGGCUGCGUUUGAUACGUGGUUGCUAGAGUGGGGAAGAGGGUCGUGGAAUUCCCAGUGUAGAGGUGAAAUUCGUAGAUAUUGGGAAGAACACCGGUGGCGAAGGCGGCGACCUGGUCCUUGACUGACGCUGAGGCGCGAAAGCGUGGGGAGCAAACAGG